AUGCACGCUAGCGGCAGGCCUAACCCAUGCAAGUCGAGGGGUAGAAGGAGCUUGCUCCUUUGAGACCGGCGCACGGGUGCGUAACGCGUAUGCAAUCUACCUUGUACAGGGGAAUAGCCCAGAGAAAUUUGGAUUAAUGCCCCAUAGUAUAUAACCUUCGCAUGUUGGUUAUAUUAAAGUUCCAACGGUACAAGAUGAGCAUGCGUCCCAUUAGUUAGUUGGUAAGGUAACGGCUUACCAAGACGAUGAUGGGUAGGGGUCCUGAGAGGGAGAUCCCCCACACUGGUACUGAGACACGGACCAGACUCCUACGGGAGGCAGCAGUGAGGAAUAUUGGUCAAUGGUCGCAAGACUGAACCAGCCAUGCCGCGUGCAGGAAGACGGUCCUAUGGAUUGUAAACUGCUUUUAUACAGGAAGAAACCCUCCCACGUGUGGGAGCUUGACGGUACUGUAGGAAUAAGGAUCGGCUAACUCCGUG
This 479-nucleotide ribosomal RNA is filed under the name uncultured bacterium. RNAcentral's name for it is "partial 16S ribosomal RNA". It matches the Rfam family "Bacterial small subunit ribosomal RNA", at positions 29 to 507 of the family's 1533-position model. The record is from RNAcentral.